This 636-nucleotide ribosomal RNA is filed under the name Penicillium raistrickii. RNAcentral's name for it is "eukaryotic LSU rRNA". It matches the Rfam family "Eukaryotic large subunit ribosomal RNA", at positions 1 to 649 of the family's 3401-position model. Lineage: Eukaryota; Fungi; Ascomycota; Eurotiomycetes; Eurotiales; Aspergillaceae. The record is from RNAcentral.
UUGACCUCGGAUCAGGUAGGGAUACCCGCUGAACUUAAGCAUAUCAAUAAGCGGAGGAAAAGAAACCAACAGGGAUUGCCCCAGUAACGGCGAGUGAAGCGGCAAGAGCUCAAAUUUGAAAGCUGGCUCCUUCGGGGUCCGCAUUGUAAUUUGCAGAGGAUGCUUCGGGAGCGGUCCCCAUCUAAGUGCCCUGGAACGGGACGUCAUAGAGGGUGAGAAUCCCGUAUGGGAUGGGGUGUCCGCGCCCAUGUGAAGCUCCUUCGACGAGUCGAGUUGUUUGGGAAUGCAGCUCUAAAUGGGUGGUAAAUUUCAUCUAAAGCUAAAUAUUGGCCGGAGACCGAUAGCGCACAAGUAGAGUGAUCGAAAGAUGAAAAGCACUUUGAAAAGAGAGUUAAAAAGCACGUGAAAUUGUUGAAAGGGAAGCGCUUGCGAUCAGACUCGCUCGCGGGGUUCAGCCGGCAUUCGUGCCGGUGUACUUCCCCGCGGGCGGGCCAGCGUCGGUUUGGGCGGUCGGUCAAAGGCCCUCGGAAGGUAACGCCCCCUCGGGGGCGUCUUAUAGCCGAGGGUGCAAUGCGACCUGCCUGGACCGAGGAACGCGCUUCGGCUCGGACGCUGGCAUAAUGGUCGUAAGCGACC